RNAcentral lists this ribosomal RNA (730 nucleotides) under Shigella flexneri. RNAcentral's name for it is "bacterial SSU rRNA". It matches the Rfam family "Bacterial small subunit ribosomal RNA", at positions 62 to 789 of the family's 1533-position model. The record is from RNAcentral. Lineage: Bacteria; Pseudomonadati; Pseudomonadota; Gammaproteobacteria; Enterobacterales; Enterobacteriaceae.
GGCUCAGACUCAGUCGUAACAGGUACCGUAGAGUUUGAUCCUGGCUGAACUUGUCUGGAAAACUGCCUGAUGGAAGGGGAUAACUACUGGAAACGGUAGCUAAUACCGCAUAACGUCGCAAGACCAAAGAGGGGGACCUUCGGGCCUCUUGCCAUCGGAUGUGCCCAGAUGGGAUUAGCUUGUUGGUGGGGUAACGGCUCACCAAGGCGACGAUCCCUAGCUGGUCUGAGAGGAUGACCAGCCACACUGGAACUGAGACACGGUCCAGACUCCUACGGGAGGCAGCAGUGGGGAAUAUUGCACAAUGGGCGCAAGCCUGAUGCAGCCAUGCCGCGUGUAUGAAGAAGGCCUUCGGGUUGUAAAGUACUUUCAGCGGGGAGGAAGGGAGUAAAGUUAAUACCUUUGCUCAUUGACGUUACCCGCAGAAGAAGCACCGGCUAACUCCGUGCCAGCAGCCGCGGUAAUACGGAGGGUGCAAGCGUUAAUCGGAAUUACUGGGCGUAAAGCGCACGCAGGCGGUUUGUUAAGUCAGAUGUGAAAUCCCCGGGCUCAACCUGGGAACUGCAUCUGAUACUGGCAAGCUUGAGUCUCGUAGAGGGGGGUAGAAUUCCAGGUGUAGCGGUGAAUGCGUAGAGAUCUGGAGGAAUACCGGUGGCGAAGGCGGCCCCCUGGACGAAGACUGACGCUCAGGUGCGAAAGCGUGGGGGAGCAAACAGGAUUAGAUACCCUG